CCUACGGGUGGCAGCAGUGAGGAAUAUUGGUCAAUGGGCGGAAGCCUGAACCAGCCAAGUAGCGUGCGGGAUGAAGGCCCUACGGGUCGUAAACCGCUUUUGCACGGGGAUAACACCCUCCACUUGUGAGGUCUGCAGGUACCGCUCGAAUAAGGGCCGGCUAAUUCCGUGCCAGCAGCCGCGGUAAUACGGAAGGCCCGAGCGUUAUCCGGAUUCAUUGGGCUUAAAGGGCGCGUUGGCGGGCGUAAACGUCAGCUGUAAAAUCGCGCGGCUCAACCGCGCCCCGCAGUUGAAACUGGACGCAUUGAGUUCACAACGGGCAGGCGGAAUUCGUGGUGUAGCGGUGAAAUGCAUAGAUAUCGCGAGGAACCCCGAUUGCGAAGGCAGCCUGCCGGGGUGCGACUGACGCUGAGGCUCGAAGGUGCGGGUAUCAAACAGGAUUAGAUGCCCUUGUAGUC
RNAcentral lists this ribosomal RNA (458 nucleotides) under uncultured bacterium. RNAcentral's name for it is "partial 16S ribosomal RNA". It matches the Rfam family "Bacterial small subunit ribosomal RNA", at positions 338 to 795 of the family's 1533-position model. The record is from RNAcentral.